CGUGGUGCAGUGUUGUUCUUUCCCCGCCAAUAUUGCACUCGUCCCGGCCUCC
Phascolarctos cinereus (koala) is the source of this 52-nucleotide microRNA precursor. The record is from Ensembl. NCBI's taxonomy places the organism in Eukaryota, Metazoa, Chordata, Mammalia, Diprotodontia, Phascolarctidae.